UAUUGGGAUUCGACUAAGCCAUGCGAGUCGAGAGGGUUCGGCCCUCGGCAGACGGCUCAGUAACACGUGGAUAAUCUGCCCUUAGGUGGAGGAUAACCUCGGGAAACUGAGAAUAAUACUCCAUAGAUCUAGGAUGCUGGAAUGCACUUAGAUUGAAAGUUCCGGCGCCUAAGGAUGAGUCUGCGGACUAUCAGGUAGUAGUCAGGGUAAAGGCCUGACUAGCCUACGACGGAUACGGGUUGUGAGAGCAAUAACCCGGAGACGAUAUCUGAGACACGAUAUCGGGCCCUACGGGGCGCAGCAGGCGCGAAACCUUCACAAUGUGCGAAAGCACGAUGAGGGAAUCCCAAGUGCUUGCUCGUAAGAGUAAGCUGUUUUUAUGUCUAAAAAGCAUAGAGAGUAAGGGCUGGGUAAGACGGGUGCCAGCCGCCGCGGUAAUACCUGCAGCUCAAGUAGUGACCGCUAUUAUUGGGCCUAAAACGUUCGUAGCCGGUUUGGUAAAUGCCUGGGUAAAUCGUGUAGCUUAACUAUACGAAUUCCGGGUAGACUGCCAAACUUGAAACCGGGAGAAGCUAGAGGUACUCCUGGGGUAGAGGUGAAAUUCUGUAAUCCUGGGGGGACCACCAGUGGCGAAGGCGUCUAGCUAGAACGGGUUUGACGGUGAGGAACGAAGCCCUGGGGCGCAAACCGGAUUAGAUACCCGGGUAGUCCAGGGUGUAAACGCUGCUUGCUUGAUGUUAGUUGGGCUCCGAGCCCAAUUAGUGUCGGAGAGAAGUUGUUAAGCAAGCUGCCUGGGAAGUGCGAUCGCAAGAUUGAAACUUAAAGGAAUUGGCGGGGGAGCACAGCAACGGGUGGAGCGUGCGGUUUAAUUGGAUUC
Molecule: ribosomal RNA, 877 nt
Filed under: uncultured archaeon
Lineage: Archaea
Description: bacterial SSU rRNA
Rfam family: Archaeal small subunit ribosomal RNA
Source: RNAcentral